This 1333-nucleotide ribosomal RNA is filed under the name uncultured bacterium. RNAcentral's name for it is "bacterial SSU rRNA". It matches the Rfam family "Bacterial small subunit ribosomal RNA", at positions 28 to 1382 of the family's 1533-position model. The record is from RNAcentral.
GACGAACGCUGGCGGCGCGCCUAACACAUGCAAGUCGAACGAGCGAGAGAGAGCUUGCUUUCUCAAGCGAGUGGCGAACGGGUGAGUAACGCGUGAGGAACCUGCCUCAAAGAGGGGGACAACAGUUGGAAACGACUGCUAAUACCGCAUAAGCCCACGGGUCGGCAUCGACCAGAGGGAAAAGGAGCAAUCCGCUUUGAGAUGGCCUCGCGUCCGAUUAGCUAGUUGGUGAGGUAAUGGCCCACCAAGGCAACGAUCGGUAGCCGGACUGAGAGGUUGAACGGCCACAUUGGGACUGAGACACGGCCCAGACUCCUACGGGAGGCAGCAGUGGGGAAUAUUGCACAAUGGGGGAAACCCUGAUGCAGCGACGCCGCGUGGAGGAAGAAGGUCUUCGGAUUGUAAACUCCUGUUGUUGAGGAAGAUAAUGACGGUACUCAACAAGGAAGUGACGGCUAACUACGUGCCAGCAGCCGCGGUAAAACGUAGGUCACAAGCGUUGUCCGGAAUUACUGGGUGUAAAGGGAGCGCAGGCGGGAAGACAAGUUGGAAGUGAAAUCUAUGGGCUCAACCCAUAAACUGCUUUCAAAACUGUUUUUCUUGAGUAGUGCAGAGGUAGGCGGAAUUCCCGGUGUAGCGGUGGAAUGCGUAGAUAUCGGGAGGAACACCAGUGGCGAAGGCGGCCUACUGGGCACCAACUGACGCUGAGGCUCGAAAGUGUGGGUAGCAAACAGGAUUAGAUACCCUGGUAGUCCACACCGUAAACGAUGAUUACUAGGUGUUGGAGGAUUGACCCCUUCAGUGCCGCAGUUAACACAAUAAGUAAUCCACCUGGGGAGUACGACCGCAAGGUUGAAACUCAAAGGAAUUGACGGGGGCCCGCACAAGCAGUGGAGUAUGUGGUUUAAUUCGACGCAACGCGAAGAACCUUACCAAGUCUUGACAUCCCUUGACGAACAUAGAAAUAUGUUUUCUCUUCGGAGCAAGGAGACAGGUGGUGCAUGGUUGUCGUCAGCUCGUGUCGUGAGAUGUUGGGUUAAGUCCCGCAACGAGCGCAACCCUUACUGUCAGUUACUACGCAAGAGGACUCUGGCAGGACUGCCGUUGACAAAACGGAGGAAGGUGGGGAUGACGUCAAAUCAUCAUGCCCUUUAUGACUUGGGCUACACACGUACUACAAUGGCGUUAAACAAAGAGAAGCAAGACCGCGAGGUGGAGCAAAACUCAGAAACAGCGUCCCAGUUCGGACUGCAGGCUGCAACUCGCCUGCACGAAGUCGGAAUUGCUAGUAAUCGUGGAUCAGCAUGCCACGGUGAAUACGUUCCCGGGCCUU